UCACUAUUCUGAUGGAUCAUAUGAAAGUCACGUGAAACAGGGUUACUGUUACACGUUAAUACUCUGUGCCUUAAAUCCAAGGAUCUACCAGCUAGGACAUACCUCCUUCAAUUAACUGCCUUGUGUCCACAAAAGCAUUGCUGACAACACUUAUGGUGGACACAGACUCUAUUCUGCAAGUCACAUUUGCAGUUAGCCCCCUGUUUCAAGUCCUUCCUUGAUGAAUGUUCCUUCAGGUACAACCCUGACCCUAUCCACAUGAAAAAAGAAAAAAAUGGUAAGAUUCUGCCUAACAUGUUUGGAAGAAAUUGCCAUUGAUGCUAUACAGUUCUUGAAGACAGACAGCACUCAGGAGUCGAAGCUGGCUUGGAUCUCUGUGAUUUUGAGAUCUGCCUGUUCUACACAGAGAGGCUCAUGUUAGCCAGGUACCAUAGGGAAUCGUCUCUCAAAAUAUAAAAUACAAAAUGGGCAUUCAGGAUAUUUCCCUGUCUCAUUUCCUGAUUCAACCUGGCAUCAUUGAUCUGCAUGAGAAACAAGGCAUGAGCACAGGUGAUUCCCAUAAACUGAAAAUCCCUGUAAUCCACUAUGCAAGCUGCUACUUGUUCUGUGCACAUGGUACUCAUCAGACGGUCAGAGUUCUAGAAGGGAUGUGACAGCAUGACCUACCUGUCAUCAUGCAGGAAUGAAGAUGUGCUCAACAAAUUCAAUUUGCACCAUUGCUUGAGAAAAUGCCAGGAUCAGAUGAUCAGAAGGUAAGCUGGAUGCCAAGCUCAAAAGAAGAUAGAACUUCUCUUUCCACACAUCUGCAGUCUCAUUCUGUCAGUACUCUUCAGUCAAGCAGGUCAAUGGUAACUGUCCCUCUGUGCUGGCUAUUCUAGCAUAGGCCACCUGAUAUGCUCCUUUUUCUUCAGGACAUCAAGACCAGGCUUCUGAAUCUCACCCUCUCCCACAAAAAGAUACUUACUGUACUCAAUCUUAAAUUCAGUAAUGAUUCACACAGAUCAGGGCCUGGGAAUCCCUGUUGAGUUCAGUUCCCCUUAAGAACUCACUGAGCUGCUCCCUACCUAAAGGUUUCCGGGAAAACAGUUCACACUACACUCGCCACUGCUUCACACUGAAUCUGUGGCUGUCUUCAAGGGUUGCAUCAUGAUCAAGGAUUCCUUAAGGUGGAAGACGGACCACUGAAUUGUCCUCCACAGCAUGCUCUCAUAAUGACCUGUGGAACCUCUCAGCUCCUCUGGACCUCAGGAAUGACACAGUAAUCUUCCAGGAAAUGAGAGUGUUCUCAGCAGAAGAGCCCAGUGGGGAUGGCAUAUACAAACAUAGGUGACAGUGAUGACAUUUCACAUCAAAUCCCUUUCAUGAACCUUUGCCCCUUCAAAAAGAGUAAUAAAGUAACAGAAAAUCUUACUCUGAUAGACAGGAGAAACUUUGAUCUUCUCAGGGUGAUGGACACAUAUACAUUAACUGCUUCCAGCUGAAUGUAUGUGGGUUUUUUACAGACUAUCACUUCAGCCCUCAAUAUUUAUAGUACUUUUACAUUUUCCUGAUGGAUAACAGCAUUACUACUGACAGACCCAAGCCUUUUAUGUUGACAUUUAGAGCGUGACAUUCAGAGGACAGCAGACAGCUGACAUUGUGAUGUUCUACAUCUCGCACCAUAUGAACAAUCUCAUUUCUGGAGGUCAUGAGACUUAAGUCAUCACUGUCAAUUUGAGAGUUUAUGGGACUCUGACAUGUUCCUGUCUGCUCUAAGUAGCAGCAGUGAAAAUUUUCGCACAUUUCUAUAGUCAACCAAAGUCCUUACAUCUUCAGAAUGUCCUGGCCCUUGCACACCCUCAUUUUGUUUUUGUCUCCUACACCCAUCAUUUAACUCUGAGAACAUGGGCUCCAUGACUGACCCUGAUCAUGUUAAAAAAAAGUCCUUGUUGAGGCUCCUUUUUGUUGUCCUUAUUGAUUGCAAACAUUUUCUAAUGCAAUCUGGAAUACAUGGAUUGAGCACUGUUUUUGUGUAAAAUGGGGGAUAGAUAGUAUCUAUGGCCUAGUACAUACUGGGUACUGAGGAGGAUGGAAUUCAGUUAGGGAAGAUGGAGUUCUGAUUCAAGGAAAGUUCAAGGACUGUCAAAGCAGUUGUUGGGCCUGUAAAUGGCAGAUCAGGCUCAAGUCAAGUUUACUUUGUUUUCAGGUGUUAGUUACUGGGACGGCCACCAGGGUAGCACAGAUUUAUAGCGCAAGGCAGCAGCUUUUCUUACCAAGGGUCAAGCUCACCCCACAUUCUAAAGUCUUCUGAGCAUUUCAGUUCUGGGAAGGGGAGACCCUGGAGAAACUAGUGCAGUAGAAGAUUUUUAUGCAUGUGUUCCCUGAGCUUUGAGUUUCUGAGGUUCAUUCACAAUGCUGAUUUAAAGGGAAGAGUUUGCGUUAAAGGUGGGGGAUCUAGAAGACUUACUGAGAACUGGAAAUGAGUAGUGAUCUCUGUUUGUCCUCUCAACAGAACCUGGAAAUUCCAGAGAAGUUAGCAAUGCAGGUUGAGUCAGAAUCGUCAGUACUUAGUAUGCAUCAGUGUACUACACCGGUGUCCAGGACUGACUCCUUGUGUGUAGCAUGCAGGAGGGACAGGACAGCUGAAGGUGAAGACAAACACACUGUCCCUCUUUGGGAGCAGGGAACCCAUGUCUGAAAUGAGGCACAGACUCUCAAGUCCGAGUUGAUGGAUUCCUACUUAGAUAGAUGGAAAAACCAAUGUGUGUUCUCUGGUCAUACCUCAGGUUCUUUCAGAAAUCGAUAGCAAAAUCCCACAGGACACACAACAUAACAGCAUCCUUCAGUGUUCUCUCAGGAAAAGUAGAGCGAGAUGAAAGGGGCAAAGCCCCUUAGAUCUGUGGCCUUGUGCAAAUUAGAUAAGCAUCCUGUGUCUGAAAUGAGGAACAGACACUGAAAGUCGGAGUUGAUGGAUUCCUACUUAGAUGGAAAAACCACUGUGUGUUCUCUGCGAGGAGGAGGAAACAAGGGAAGGAGCUUCAUUGGUCCUCAUGGGGGAAUCAUUUCACCAGGAGAACAACCUGAAGGGAUGUACAGAUUAACCACAGCUAGAAAUCUCCAGCCUGUGUCUCCUGAUGUAUAGAGUUCAUCACUUUAAACACAAGGACACGUGGACAGGAUGGACAGGGAAUCUGAGAUAUGCAGCACUCAGUCUCCACUGUUCUUGCCCCACUGCACAUCCCUCUCCCCAUGGAGACUCCAUUCUGUCUCUCCCAUCCCCUCUAAAUCCUCCCUCUGCAAAUUGUCUCUUACUCCCAGUGUAUCCCAUGUUC
Mesocricetus auratus (golden hamster) is the source of this 3311-nucleotide long non-coding RNA. RefSeq lists it as uncharacterized. The transcript is spliced from 4 exons. NCBI's taxonomy places the organism in Eukaryota, Metazoa, Chordata, Mammalia, Rodentia, Cricetidae. The record is from RefSeq and is a predicted model, not a curated record.